GCCUCCGCCGGCCGCCAUAGAGACCGGAACUAGAAUUAGAGUAGUCGGCCACGAAAACCAUAGAGUACCCGAGAGGACGGGCAGAGGGAACGUGACUUCCACGAGGCAGCCGCCGGGCUGGCGGGCCCCACGUUCAGGGUUGUGUCUCGGCUGAAAAAAAGGCACGCCCGAACGCUGAGCAGGGAUUACCCGGCCGGACCCGGGAUUGGAAGGGGGCUCGACGACGCCUUAGCCCCCCGUGAAGAAAAGGCUUCCCUCCCUCCCAGCUCCAAAUACGGUCCCUGUGAUCUGAGAACAUUACGGCGGGCAUAGAGUCGUCUUUUCUUUAAUGGCCGUGUAGUCGCGGCACAGCCGAGGGUUUCUGGAAUUGCCUUAAACGUAUGCGUUUGAAGAGCGUACUCUUUUGUCGGAGCAGUCACCUUGGAGGGACCACGCAGGCUAUGGCAGCCCGGGUUCAGCAUGUUUAGGCGUCUACUAUCGGCUGGGGAUGGAAUAGUUCGCGAGUCAGUUUCUGCCUUCUGAUGGAGGCAGAAAUUUAAACAGCCAACACGGUUUCAGUCCCAGAGGUAAAGAGAAAGGGAAGUCCACACUCUGGGGUUAUGGCCUUGAAGUCGAGCAAGCUAUACUAAG
Long non-coding RNA from Pan troglodytes (chimpanzee), 630 nucleotides. RefSeq lists it as uncharacterized. The record is from RefSeq and is a predicted model, not a curated record. The transcript has 3 exons. NCBI's taxonomy places the organism in Eukaryota, Metazoa, Chordata, Mammalia, Primates, Hominidae.